GAGCAUUUCUGCUAUAGAUUGAGAAUAGU
This 29-nucleotide non-coding RNA is filed under the name Rattus norvegicus (Norway rat). The record is from RNAcentral. Lineage: Eukaryota; Metazoa; Chordata; Mammalia; Rodentia; Muridae.